UACGGAGGGAGCUAGCGUUAUUCGGAAUUACUGGGCGUAAAGCGUACGUAGGCGGUUAUUCAAGUCAGAGGUGAAAGCCCGGGGCUCAACCCCGGAACUGCCUUUGAAACUAGGUAGCUAGAAUCUUGGAGAGGUCAAUGGAAUUCCGAGUGUAGAGGUGAAAUUCGUAGAUAUUCGGAAGAACACCAGUGGCGAAGGCGACUGACUGGACAAGUAUUGACGCUGAGGUACGAAAGCGUGGGGAGCAAACAGG
RNAcentral lists this ribosomal RNA (253 nucleotides) under uncultured bacterium. RNAcentral's name for it is "partial 16S ribosomal RNA". It matches the Rfam family "Bacterial small subunit ribosomal RNA", at positions 524 to 776 of the family's 1533-position model. The record is from RNAcentral.